This 85-nucleotide transfer RNA is filed under the name Desulfurivibrio sp. RNAcentral describes it as "tRNA-Leu". It matches the Rfam family "tRNA". From Rfam's summary of the family: Transfer RNA (tRNA) molecules are approximately 80 nucleotides in length. Their secondary structure includes four short double-helical elements and three loops (D, anti-codon, and T loops). The record is from RNAcentral. Lineage: Bacteria; Pseudomonadati; Thermodesulfobacteriota; Desulfobulbia; Desulfobulbales; Desulfobulbaceae.
GCGAGAGUGGCGGAAUUGGUAGACGCACUAGACUUAGGAUCUAGCGCCUUAGUGUGUGGGGGUUCAAAUCCCCCCUCUCGCACCA